UCCUUAAUGACUCAGAUGGUAGAGAAUCUGCCUGCAGUGCAGGAGACCUGGGUUUGAUCCCUGGGUUGGGAA
This 72-nucleotide transfer RNA is filed under the name Ovis aries (sheep). It matches the Rfam family "tRNA". Rfam says of the family: Transfer RNA (tRNA) molecules are approximately 80 nucleotides in length. Their secondary structure includes four short double-helical elements and three loops (D, anti-codon, and T loops). Lineage: Eukaryota; Metazoa; Chordata; Mammalia; Artiodactyla; Bovidae. The record is from Rfam by way of RNAcentral.